GGUUUUACUUUAGUUAUUUACUUGUAUACCUCUGUUAUUGAAUGUUUUAUAAGGAAAGAUUUUCUUAAUAUAUUAUGUAUAUAAUAUCAGGUCAAGGUUCAGUUAUAUUAAAGAAGAAAUGGGUUACAUUAAUUUUAUUUUUGGAUUAAUAUUUUUGAUUUUAUUAUGAAAUUGGAUUUAAUAGUAAUUUCUUUUAAUUAGAAGAGGUGAUUUUAGGCUCUAAAUUAUGCACACAUCGCCCGUCACUCUCAUUAUUUUAAGGUGAGAUAAGUCGUAACAAAGUAGGCCUACCGGAAGGUGGGCCUAGUAUUAUAUA
This 316-nucleotide ribosomal RNA is filed under the name Paraplea frontalis. Its description in RNAcentral is "partial 12S ribosomal RNA". Lineage: Eukaryota; Metazoa; Arthropoda; Insecta; Hemiptera; Pleidae. The record is from RNAcentral.